This 771-nucleotide long non-coding RNA is filed under the name Bos taurus (domestic cattle). RNAcentral's name for it is "long non-coding RNA NONBTAT017270". The record is from RNAcentral. Lineage: Eukaryota; Metazoa; Chordata; Mammalia; Artiodactyla; Bovidae.
AGUUGACCAGGAAACAUUUAUGGGGCACCUGUUGUAUAUUAGGGAGUGUGCUCAUUGCUCUGUAUAUUUCAGCCCAUUUUCCCACGGGCUAAUAGAUGCCCAGAUUAGGGAAUUACCAUCUCAGCUCCAGGAAUUCAUUCUGAAAGGAGACUUACCUUGUCAUAUGAUAGAGCAAAAGCUUUGACACUCGUGAUCUCUACCAGGUUCUCAAUGUAGCAUACUCUUCAUCAUGAAUGCCUAGUUAUCAGUGGGGUAUAUUAAAUAGUCUCAGAGAAUUAACUCUUUUCUUGAUGGUUGAAGUGAAUUUAAAGGCAGGGAGAAUCAGUAUUUAAAAGGGAGAUUGUAAAGAUCUAACCAAGCUCCAGGAUCGCUGUGUCGAAUAUAUUCCAAAGCAGUAUACAGUGCUUUGGAUUCCAAACGUUAAGUUGCCCCACUCCAAGAAUACGACGGUACAAGACUUCACUGGAUUAGACUCUUAAACACUUCAACAGGAAGAGAGGUAGCUCCAUAGAUUCUCACCUGUUUUCUUCCGUCUUCUCCAAUCUGUGUGUUCAUGGUUCAUGUGUUUUUUGAUCAAAGGAAGAAGUGAGUCCUGGGAUGUCUGCUUCAAAGACAAGCAGAGAUUUAGAAGGCUUGUAUGUCCUCCUCUCAACCCUGUGGAUCUGACCCAGUCCUUUGGAGGGAAGGGAAAGACCAGCCAUUCCUGGAACUUGAGUUCAGGAUAUUUAAUCCUGUUCUUUGGGGGCAGGAAGUGUGUCCUAAUGUGAUACC